Molecule: ribosomal RNA, 589 nt
Filed under: Lycodes brevicaudus
Lineage: Eukaryota; Metazoa; Chordata; Actinopteri; Perciformes; Zoarcidae
Description: partial 16S ribosomal RNA
Rfam family: Bacterial large subunit ribosomal RNA
Source: RNAcentral
AAACAUCGCCUCUUGCAAACUUAACAAAUAAGAGGUCCCGCCUGCCCUGUGACUAUUAGUUUAACGGCCGCGGUAUUUUGACCGUGCGAAGGUAGCGCAAUCACUUGUCUUUUAAAUGAAGACCUGUAUGAAUGGCAUAACGAGGGCUUAACUGUCUCCUUUUUCCAGUCAAUGAAGUUGAUCUUCCCGUGCAGAAGCGGGAAUACAAACAUAAGACGAGAAGACCCUAUGAAGCUUUAGACACCAAGGCAGAUCAUGUUAAUAACCCUAAAUAAAGGCUUAAACCAAAUGAAACCUGCCCGAAUGUCUUUGGUUGGGGCGACCGCGGGGCAUUGAAAAACCCCCACGUGGAAUGGGAGCACCCCUCCUACAACUAAGAGCUACAGCUCUAGUAAACAGAAAUUCUGACCAACAAGAUCCGGCAAUGCCGAUCAACGGACCGAGUUACCCUAGGGAUAACAGCGCAAUCCUCUUUUAGAGCCCAUAUCGACAAGGGGGUUUACGACCUCGAUGUUGGAUCAGGACAUCCUAAUGGUGCAGCCGCUAUUAAGGGUUCGUUUGUUCAACGAUUAAAGUCCUACGUGAUCUG